This 141-nucleotide ribosomal RNA is filed under the name uncultured bacterium. RNAcentral's name for it is "partial 16S ribosomal RNA". It matches the Rfam family "Bacterial small subunit ribosomal RNA", at positions 355 to 507 of the family's 1533-position model. The record is from RNAcentral.
UGGGGAAUAUUGCACAAUGGGCGNAACCCUGAUGCAGCGACGCCGCGUGAGGGAUGACGGCCUUCGGGUUGUAAACCUCUUUCAGUAGGGAAGAAGCGAAUGUGACGGUACCUGCAGAAGAAGCNGCCGGCUAACUACAGU